ACGGGAGACACGCAUUCUUGUUCAGCUGAACAAGGGAAUCCGGUGCAAAACCGGAACACGGCGGGCAGACCCGUCGUGCUGUAAGCACGGAGCCGACUUCCUUUCCGCGAAAGCGGGUCAUUGGGGAAACCUGAGAAGGCGGGAAGCGGCGUGGACGAUUUCGUCCGAACGUGUUAGUCAGAAGACCUACAAACUGUGCGUUUGAAAA
Firmicutes bacterium CAG:110 is the source of this 208-nucleotide non-coding RNA. Lineage: Bacteria; Bacillati; Bacillota. The record is from Rfam.